AUAGUAACUCCAAUUGUUAUGGAAGCGCGUCGUUUCUGAUUUAGGGAUCAACACGUUCUUCAUCUCCCCCAUUCGAGAGCUAAUCUCAACCUAAGGUUUCCAUGGCGUUGUUUCAUCUUCUUCCUAACAAUCCGAGAAGCUAUCAGUUACAGAUUCAUCUGCUUAAAUCCACCAUCCACGAUCUACCUUGAAUGCGAUCUUCACGCAAGGCCGUGGAACCUCGACUAUAAAAAGACCGGACGAGUACGGUACAGUAGGAGGAGGAAAGCGGUAGCGACGGAGGAGAGGAGGAUCAAGGCAAUGAGGGACCAGCCGUGUCCGGUUUAUUGUAAUUUUCCCGUCCCUUAAAACUCAUGUUCAUCAUUAUUUUGAACACACAUGGUGAUCAGAUUCAUAUUUAUCAGAAUUAUUCUUUUUGUAUAUUUCCUCUUUGCAAUAUGAUUUGAAUCUGUUGUUUAUUAUUAUUUUCCUCAUUCCAGUGUUCAUCGUCUUCCCAUAUACAAGCGACUGGGUUCUAUGUUUUACUUAAAACUCUCGUGUUCACUUAAGACUUCAUUAUAUUCAGCUCCAUAUGCCUUUCAAGUUCUUUCUUUUGUUUAAGGCAGACACCGCUGAAGGUGCAGAGAUGUAUAAGGUCAUCAAAGAGACUACUAAUCACCCAAGGGUGAAGUUCACAGAUUUUGAAUGUGGUCUGGUGGGUGCUCUGAAGAAUUGUGUUGUAUCAGCUGUAGCUUAGCUGCUUGGUGGAGCUUUUUUGGGUGUGAUAAAGCUGUGAGAUCUAGAAGAAACAAAGAGUUAGUUGAUAAUCAGUGAACAUCAAAAUAAAUAGUCAGUUUUAGAUUGUUGGAAGGGUAAGUGUUCUUUUAUGUUUAAUAAAGUGACCACCCGAAUCUAGAGAUCAAUGAACAUUGAUGAAUAUGAUUCUUGCAACUCUCUAUUCUGUUAUAGUUUCUCUUAUUUAUUGCUGCAAGUCCCAUGCUAUGCAUGAGUUUAGUACCAAAGC
Long non-coding RNA from Brassica oleracea var. oleracea, 1003 nucleotides. RefSeq lists it as uncharacterized. The transcript is spliced from 3 exons. Lineage: Eukaryota; Viridiplantae; Streptophyta; Magnoliopsida; Brassicales; Brassicaceae. The record is from RefSeq and is a predicted model, not a curated record.